Molecule: ribosomal RNA, 419 nt
Filed under: uncultured bacterium
Lineage: Bacteria
Description: bacterial SSU rRNA
Rfam family: Bacterial small subunit ribosomal RNA
Source: RNAcentral
UAGGGAAUAUUGGUCAAUGGAUGCAAGUCUGAACCAGCCAUGCCGCGUGCAGGAAGAAGGCCUUCUGGGUUGUAAACUGCUUUUGCCGGGGGAUAAAAUUCCCAUGCGUGGGACAUUGAAGGUACCCGGUGAAUAAGCACCGGCUAACUACGUGCCAGCAGCCGCGGUAAUACGUAGGGUGCAAGCGUUAAUCGGAAUUACUGGGCGUAAAGCGUGCGCAGACGGUUAUGUAAGACAGGUGUGAAAUCCCCGGGCUUAACCUGGGAACUGCAUUUGUGACUGCAUAGCUAGAGUACGGUAGAGGGGGAUGGAAUUCCGCGUGUAGCAGUGAAAUGCGUAGAUAUGCGGAGGAACACCGAUGGCGAAGGCAAUCCCCUGGACCUGUACUGACGCUCAUGCACGAAAGCGUGGGGAGCAAA